UACGGAGGGUGCAAGCGUUAUCCGGAUUCACUGGGUUUAAAGGGUGCGUAGGUGGGGAGGUAAGUCAGCGGUGAAAUCCCCGAGCUUAACUUGGGAACUGCCAUUGAUACUAUCUCUCUUGAAUAUCUUGGAGGUGAGCGGAAUAUGUCAUGUAGCGGUGAAAUGCUUAGAUAUGACAUAGAACACCAAUUGCGAAGGCAGCUCACUACACGGUAAUUGACACUGAGGCACGAAAACGUGGGGAUCAAACAGG
This 253-nucleotide ribosomal RNA is filed under the name uncultured bacterium. RNAcentral describes it as "partial 16S ribosomal RNA". It matches the Rfam family "Bacterial small subunit ribosomal RNA", at positions 524 to 776 of the family's 1533-position model. The record is from RNAcentral.